GACUGGGGGGAGCAUUCGUCGGUGUACGCACAGAAACUCCUGAAAGUUGACCAGCCGUUGCCUCUCUUUCUGUGGAACUGUUUUGGGCUAUCACCUUGUGAUCAGAAAUUUCCCUGAAUGAUGAUUUUGUUCUACCAAAUGGAUCUGUGCACUAUUUGGACAACAUGGGUGCUUAGAUCCGGGCAUAAAAGACUUGUGGGGUUUCUGUGUAGUUUGACUGUAUUUUCGGGGUGUUUUGUGUAUUUCAUAUAUGAUUCCCUGUAACUGAGUAACUAGUCUUUGACUCAAUUAUCUCCCAGUCACAGGGACGCCUGGG
This is a non-coding RNA of Pelobates cultripes (western spadefoot toad), 316 nucleotides long. NCBI's taxonomy places the organism in Eukaryota, Metazoa, Chordata, Amphibia, Anura, Pelobatidae. The record is from the annotation of a GenBank genome assembly.